UAAAUAAAUAAAAAUAAAAUAAAAAUAAAAAGACUAGUAGGAAAUACAUGAUUUGGAAAUAAAAAAUAUUCACUAGAUUGAUGAUGCUAAUUGGCUUUUUACAAACCUAGGAAGAAAAAUAUGUUGCAAACAUGGAGGAAAGAUGAUGGCCUCCUUCAACAGAACUAUGAGUUGUCCAAGAUUUCACAAAGUUCUUCAAGCAUGGCAUUUGAUGAUGAGCCCUAAGAUGACUUGAGCCUCACGUCAACUCUCUUUGCUACAUUUAGAAAGACUUGGAUUCAACAAGAGCCUCCAUUCUCCCCUUAUUGCAAUCACCAUGUGAAAAGAAGGUAAUUUGCAUUUGGUUCAUUAUCCUUAAAAGGAAGCAAUUUUCAAAGAGGUGGAAAGAUCGUUUUUUUGUUUUGUUUUGUUUUGUUUUGUUUCAACUCCUAAGGAAAUCCUUCACUCUGGUGGCACGGGUUUUCCACAUGCAAAAUGCAAGUGCAGUCAUAAACUGAAAUUUUUUCUGAAAUGGAUUUACUAGGGAAAGUUACAAACUUAACAAGAUGUCACAUCUCUGCCUCAGACCAAUCCACUCAACAGUACCUAGUUAAGGUGUCAGAGGCUCUUUACUUUAGCAAAAAGAAGCUAAAUUUUUUUUAUUUGCUUGCUAAUUAGGGGUUUCUGUGACUACCCAAAGAUGCACA
Molecule: long non-coding RNA, 686 nt
Filed under: Homo sapiens (human)
Lineage: Eukaryota; Metazoa; Chordata; Mammalia; Primates; Hominidae
Description: HSALNT0394812
Source: RNAcentral